Leucoraja erinaceus (little skate) is the source of this 1476-nucleotide long non-coding RNA. RefSeq lists it as uncharacterized. NCBI's taxonomy places the organism in Eukaryota, Metazoa, Chordata, Chondrichthyes, Rajiformes, Rajidae. The transcript is spliced from 3 exons. The record is from RefSeq and is a predicted model, not a curated record.
UGCGCGGCCCGAUUACCGGCUGUGCAGUGAGGAGGUCCGCCACCAAGCCUCCUCGCCUCUGAUCCCGCCUCCGCUUCACCGCUCGGCCGCCGCCUCCAUCUUGUAUUCCGGAGCGCCGCGCUGCACUGCGCAGGCGCGCCUCCACGGCGCGCAGCCGCUGAUUGGCUGGCGCGAGAAAGGCGCGCGAACGGCGAUUGGCUGGGCCGCAGACAUCAGUAAUGGACGUUCUGAUUGGUUGAAUUGACGGCCAUCAUCGCUGUAUCCGAUUGGACGGAGCUCCCGCUAAAGAGCCAGAGGUUUGGUGAUUGGCCGUCGAGUGGCACGUGAAAAAACGCUACCACUUACGGCUGUGAUUUUUGGCCAUCUUACUCGGAGCCCCCCUCUGCUGCGCAGGACAAGAGAAUCUUUCCCAUCGAUGAAAAAUAAAUGAGUUAUUAGUGUUUAAAAAAUGUUGAGAUUGUCUCUCCUGAAAGCCGCGCCCCUUCCGGACGACUAUAAAACCAGGAAGUGUUGAGUGCCUCAGUCAGUCUCUGCAAGAUGGGGGAGCGAGAGGAUCAUGUCUCUCAGUCUGAGCUGUGAAUAACGCUGAACACAUGUCUACUAAACUAUCACAGCAAUGAAGCAGGAAAGUCUAUCCUUGUGUGGAUCUCUGGAGAGCUAGUGUGGGUGUUGUGUGCUGAAGGACUGGUUCCUAGAGGGCUGGUAUGGACAUUGUGGACUGAAUGGAUUCUUGGACUUGCAGUUCAGUGAGUCAUGGCUGGUGUGCUUGAAGUCCAGUCACAUGGCUGGUGUGGUGGCAGUUCACUCAAGUCACCCCUCCUCCCUUCACCUCCCCACUUGCCAUUCCCCUCCCCCCACACAUUCAGUCCAUCUCCCCUCAACCUCCCCCCAUGCACUCUUAGUGGCUCUCCGACAGCGCAGCCAUUCCUGCCUAUUAGGUUCCCAGUGUGAUGAAGAACACGCAGGCAUGGCAAGUGAAAAAAGGAUUUAUUAAAGUUUAAAAUGUGAAUAAGUCUUAAAAUAUAACAACAAUUUAAAUGUUAAAGAUGAGAUUUAUUAAGUUAUUUCUUGUUGUGUCUCUUGUUGUGUUCUGCUGCUCACUGCCUCUUGAUGCCUCUUUGCUGUUGAUAAAAAAAAAAAAUUAAUAUAGAGAGAUUGCGCGGUCACAUUUUAACAAAGAAAAUCUGAGAAUUUACCUCGUCAUCAUUCAAUGCAGACCUGCAAAUCCAAUCUCACAGCACUCGAAGCGGAGUGCAGGCCACAAAUCCAACCUCACAGCACUCCAAGCAGAGUGCAGGCAGCAAGUCCAACCUCACAGCACUACAAGCAAAAUGCAAGCAGGAAGCCCAACCUCACAGCACUCCGAGUCAGUCAGCAAGUCUAACGUCGCAGCACUCCAAGCAUAUUGCAGGCAGCAAGUCCAACCUCACAGCACUGCAAGCACAGUGCAAGCAGCAAGUCCAACCUCGCAGCACU